AUUCCAGCUCCAAUAGCGUAUAUUUAAGUUGUUGCAGUUAAAAAGCUCGUAGUUGGAUUUCGGGUGGGCUGCGCCGGUCUCCUAACGGUUGUACUGGCGACGCCUGCCUUGCUGCCGGGGACGGGCUCCUGCCUUUACUGUCGGGACCCGGAAUCGGCGACGUUACUUUGAGUAAAUUAGAGUGUUCAAAGCAAGCCUACGCUCUGAAUAUAAUAGCAUGGGAUAACACGACAGGACUCUGGCCUAUCGUGUUGGUCUGUAGGACCAGAGUAAUGAUUAAGAGGGACAGUCGGGGGCAUUCGUAUUCCGUUGUCAGAGGUGAAAUUCUUGGAUUUACGGAAGACGAACAUCUGCGAAAGCAUUUGCCAAGGAUGUUUUCAUCA
RNAcentral lists this ribosomal RNA (383 nucleotides) under Dilabifilum sp. RNAcentral describes it as "partial small subunit ribosomal RNA". It matches the Rfam family "Eukaryotic small subunit ribosomal RNA", at positions 582 to 975 of the family's 1831-position model. The record is from RNAcentral. Lineage: Eukaryota; Viridiplantae; Chlorophyta; Chlorophyceae; Chaetophorales; Chaetophoraceae.